GACUGUAGCUGCCCUGAAACUCUCGCUGU
This 29-nucleotide non-coding RNA is filed under the name Homo sapiens (human). Lineage: Eukaryota; Metazoa; Chordata; Mammalia; Primates; Hominidae. The record is from RNAcentral.